Molecule: ribosomal RNA, 759 nt
Filed under: uncultured Streptococcus sp.
Lineage: Bacteria; Bacillati; Bacillota; Bacilli; Lactobacillales; Streptococcaceae
Description: bacterial SSU rRNA
Rfam family: Bacterial small subunit ribosomal RNA
Source: RNAcentral
CGUGCCUAAUACAUGCAAGUAGAACGCUGAAGAGAGGAGCUUGCUCUUCUUGGAUGAGUUGCGAACGGGUGAGUAACGCGUAGGUAACCUGCCUGGUAGCGGGGGAUAACUAUUGGAAACGAUAGCUAAUACCGCAUAAAAUGGAUUAUCGCAUGAUGAUUCAUUGAAAGGUGCAAAUGCAUCACUACCAGAUGGACCUGCGUUGUAUUAGCUAGUUGGUGGGGUAACGGCUCACCAAGGCGACGAUACAUAGCCGACCUGAGAGGGUGAUCGGCCACACUGGGACUGAGACACGGCCCAGACUCCUACGGGAGGCAGCAGUAGGGAAUCUUCGGCAAUGGACGGAAGUCUGACCGAGCAACGCCGCGUGAGUGAAGAAGGUUUUCGGAUCGUAAAGCUCUGUUGUAAGAGAAGAACGAGUGUGAGAGUGGAAAGUUCACACUGUGACGGUAUCUUACCAGAAAGGGACGGCUAACUACGUGCCAGCAGCCGCGGUAAUACGUAGGUCCCGAGCGUUGUCCGGAUUUAUUGGGCGUAAAGCGAGCGCAGGCGGUUAGAUAAGUCUGAAGUUAAAGGCUGUGGCUUAACCAUAGUACGCUUUGGAAACUGUUUAACUUGAGUGCAAGAGGGGAGAGUGGAAUUCCAUGUGUAGCGGUGAAAUGCGUAGAUAUAUGGAGGAACACCGGUGGCGAAAGCGGCUCUCUGGCUUGUAACUGACGCUGAGGCUCGAAAGCGUGGGGAGCAAACAGGAUUAGAUAC